RNAcentral lists this ribosomal RNA (465 nucleotides) under Vreelandella stevensii. RNAcentral describes it as "partial 16S ribosomal RNA". It matches the Rfam family "Bacterial small subunit ribosomal RNA", at positions 338 to 795 of the family's 1533-position model. The record is from RNAcentral. Lineage: Bacteria; Pseudomonadati; Pseudomonadota; Gammaproteobacteria; Oceanospirillales; Halomonadaceae.
CCUACGGGGGGCUGCAGUGGGGAAUAUUGGACAAUGGGGGCAACCCUGAUCCAGCCAUGCCGCGUGUGUGAAGAAGGCCCUCGGGUUGUAAAGCACUUUCAGUGAGGAAGAACGCCUGGUGGUUAAUACCCAUCAGGAAAGACAUCACUCACAGAAGAAGCACCGGCUAACUCCGUGCCAGCAGCCGCGGUAAUACGGAGGGUGCGAGCGUUAAUCGGAAUUACUGGGCGUAAAGCGCGCGUAGGUGGCUUGAUAAGCCGGUUGUGAAAGCCCCGGGCUCAACCUGGGAACGGCAUCCGGAACUGUCCAGCUAGAGUGCAGGAGAGGAAGGUAGAAUUCCCGGUGUAGCGGUGAAAUGCGUAGAGAUCGGGAGGAAUACCAGUGGCGAAGGCGGCCUUCUGGACUGACACUGACACUGAGGUGCGAAAGCGUGGGUAGCAAACAGGAUUAGAUACCCCAGUAGUC